AUUGAACGCUGGCGGCAGGCCUAACACAUGCAAGUCGAACGGUAACAGGAAGAAGCUUGCUUCUUUGCUGACGAGUGGCGGACGGGUGAGUAAUGUCUGGGAAACUGCCUGAUGGAGGGGGAUAACUACUGGAAACGGUAGCUAAUACCGCAUAAUGUCGCAAGACCAAAGAGGGGGACCUUCGGGCCUCUUGCCAUCGGAUGUGCCCAGAUGGGAUUAGCUAGUAGGUGGGGUAACGGCUCACCUAGGCGACGAUCCCUAGCUGGUCUGAGAGGAUGACCAGCCACACUGGAACUGAGACACGGUCCAGACUCCUACGGGAGGCAGCAGUGGGGAAUAUUGCACAAUGGGCGCAAGCCUGAUGCAGCUAUGCCGCGUGUAUGAAGAAGGCCUUCGGGUUGUAAAGUACUUUCGGCGGGGAGGAAGGGAGUAAAGUUAAUACCUUGGCUCAUUGACGUUACCCGCAGAAGAAGCACCGGCUAACUCCGUG
RNAcentral lists this ribosomal RNA (490 nucleotides) under uncultured bacterium. RNAcentral's name for it is "partial 16S ribosomal RNA". It matches the Rfam family "Bacterial small subunit ribosomal RNA", at positions 30 to 507 of the family's 1533-position model. The record is from RNAcentral.